RNAcentral lists this ribosomal RNA (550 nucleotides) under uncultured Funneliformis. RNAcentral describes it as "SSU rRNA". It matches the Rfam family "Eukaryotic small subunit ribosomal RNA", at positions 548 to 1098 of the family's 1831-position model. Lineage: Eukaryota; Fungi; Glomeromycota; Glomeromycetes; Glomerales; Glomeraceae. The record is from RNAcentral.
UUGGAGGGCAAGUCUGGUGCCAGCAGCCGCGGUAAUUCCAGCUCCAAUAGCGUAUAUUAAAGUUGUUGCAGUUAAAAAGCUCGUAGUUGAAUUUCGGGAUCAAUGUUUCGGUCAUGCCGUUGGUAUGUACUGAUAUUAUUGGUUUCUCACCUUCUAAAGAACCGUAAUGCCAUUAAUUUGGUGUCACGGGGAAUUAGGACUGUUACCUUGAAAAAAUUAGAGUGUUUAAAGCAGGCUCACGCUUGAAUACAUUAGCAUGGAAUAAUGAAAUAGGACAUCCGAUUCUAUUUUGUUGGUUUCUAGGAUCGAUGUAAUGAUUAAUAGGGAUAGUUGGGGGCAUUAGUAUUCAAUUGUCAGAGGUGAAAUUCUUGGAUUUAUUGAAGACUAACUACUGCGAAAGCAUUUGCCAAGGAUGUUUUCAUUAAUCAAGAACGAAAGUUAGGGGAUCGAAGACGAUCAGAUACCGUCGUAGUCUUAGCCAUAAACUAUGCCGACUAGGGAUCGGAUGAUGUUAAUUUUUUAAUGACUCAUUCGGCGCCUUACGGGAAAC